Molecule: long non-coding RNA, 232 nt
Filed under: Lathyrus oleraceus (garden pea)
Lineage: Eukaryota; Viridiplantae; Streptophyta; Magnoliopsida; Fabales; Fabaceae
Description: Pisum sativum (pea) long non-coding RNA (PSAT_LNC021196)
Source: RNAcentral
UUUAAUGCAUUUUUAUUUCAUUUAGUUGCAUUUUAAAUUUUUUUGACCUUGUGGACUUCUGUUGGCCUUGGAUCAUGAUGAUUUUAACUUCAAGUCUCAUUAAACUCAAUGGAUCUUGGGUGUUGAUUGGGUGAAAACCCUAAUCCACCAAAAUGGAUGAUUUAUUUCGAUGGUGACUUGAGCAAAUAUAUGAUUCAAUUUGGAGUUGACCUCUCUUGUCCCCUCUCUCCUU